ACAAACAAAACAAAGCCACAAAA
This 23-nucleotide non-coding RNA is filed under the name Arabidopsis thaliana (thale cress). Lineage: Eukaryota; Viridiplantae; Streptophyta; Magnoliopsida; Brassicales; Brassicaceae. The record is from RNAcentral.